AACAGGAGUAGAAGCGGUCUGUAAUGGAAAUAGCAUUACUGGGCAUUGCUCCAAUA
Regulatory RNA element from Vibrio rumoiensis 1S-45, 56 nucleotides. It matches the Rfam family "Xanthine riboswitch aptamer (NMT1 RNA)". From Rfam's summary of the family: Later it was reported as a ncRNA that recognised Xanthine. The record is from Rfam. NCBI's taxonomy places the organism in Bacteria, Pseudomonadati, Pseudomonadota, Gammaproteobacteria, Vibrionales, Vibrionaceae.